RNAcentral lists this ribosomal RNA (264 nucleotides) under uncultured archaeon. RNAcentral describes it as "partial 16S ribosomal RNA". It matches the Rfam family "Archaeal small subunit ribosomal RNA", at positions 748 to 1009 of the family's 1478-position model. The record is from RNAcentral.
CAGCCGUAAACUAUGCGCGUUAGGUGUACUGGUGACCACGAGUCACCGGGGUGCCGAAGGGAAACCGUGAAACGUGCCGCCUGGGAAGUACGGUCGCAAGGCUGAAACUUAAAGGAAUUGGCGGGGGAGGCACCACAACGGGUGGAGCCUGCGGGUUUAAUUUGGACUCAACGCCGGAAAUCUCACCGGAUAGGACAGACAUAUGAUAGUCGGGCUGAAGACUCUACUUGAUGAUCUGAGAGGAGGUGCAUGGCGUAGACGUCU